Molecule: ribosomal RNA, 480 nt
Filed under: Gammaproteobacteria bacterium
Lineage: Bacteria; Pseudomonadati; Pseudomonadota; Gammaproteobacteria
Description: partial 23S ribosomal RNA
Rfam family: Bacterial large subunit ribosomal RNA
Source: RNAcentral
GCUUACCGGAUAAAAGCUACCCCGGGGAUAACAGGCUAGUCAGGUCCAAGAGUUCACAUCGACGACCUGGCUCGGCACCUCGAUGUCGGCUCAUCGCAUCCUGGGGCUGGAUAAGGUCCCAAGGGUUGGGCUGUUCGCCCAUUAAAGCGGUACGCGAGCUGGGUUCAGACCGUCGUGAGACAGGUCGGUCUCUAUCCGCUGUGGGCGUAAGGGAUUUGAGAGGAGCUGCCCCUAGUACGAGAGGACCGGGGUGGACGGACCGCUGGUGUGCCAGUUGUUCCGCCAGGAGCAUCGCUGGGUAGCUACGUCCGGCAGAGAUAACCGCUGAAAGCAUCUAAGCGGGAAACUCGCUCCAAGAUUAGAUCCCUCGUCACGUAAAGUGAGUAAGACCGCAGGAAGACUACCUGCUAGAUAGGCUGCAAGUGUAAGCACAGCAAUGUGUUCAGCUAAGCAGUACUAAUGGUCGAGGGCUUAACUUUG